RNAcentral lists this ribosomal RNA (496 nucleotides) under uncultured bacterium. Its description in RNAcentral is "partial 16S ribosomal RNA". It matches the Rfam family "Bacterial small subunit ribosomal RNA", at positions 30 to 523 of the family's 1533-position model. The record is from RNAcentral.
AUUGAACGCUGGCGGCAGGCUUAACACAUGCAAGUCGAACGAUGAUUAUCUAGCUUGCUAGAUAUGAUUAGUGGCGGACGGGUGAGUAACAUUUAGGAGUCUGCCUAGUAGUGGGGGAUAGCUCGGGGAAACUCGAAUUAAUACCGCAUACGACCUACGGGUGAAAGGGGGCGCAAGCUCUUGCUAUUAGAUGAGCCUAAAUCAGAUUAGCUAGUUGGUGGGGUAAAGGCCCACCAAGGCGACGAUCUGUAACUGGUCUGAGAGGAUGAUCAGUCACACCGGAACUGAGACACGGUCCGGACUCCUACGGGAGGCAGCGGUGGGGAAUAUUGGACAAUGGGGGCAACCCUGAUCCAGCCAUGCCGCGUGUGUGAAGAAGGCCUUUUGGUUGUAAAGCACUUUAAGCAGGGAGGAGAGGCUAAUGGUUAAUACCCAUUAGAUUAGACGUUACCUGCAGAAUAAGCACCGGCUAACUCUGUGCCAGCAGCCGCAGUAA